AAGUUAUAGCAAUUAAGAUAAUAUGGUGUUUUGAUAUAGACAAGAUUAGCAUGCCCCGACGCAAGGAUGACAUGCAAAUUUGUGAAGUGUUCCAUAUUUUU
Molecule: non-coding RNA, 101 nt
Organism: Chlorocebus sabaeus (green monkey)
Lineage: Eukaryota; Metazoa; Chordata; Mammalia; Primates; Cercopithecidae
Source: Rfam